Long non-coding RNA from Daphnia pulex (common water flea), 517 nucleotides. RefSeq lists it as uncharacterized. The transcript is spliced from 3 exons. The record is from RefSeq and is a predicted model, not a curated record. NCBI's taxonomy places the organism in Eukaryota, Metazoa, Arthropoda, Branchiopoda, Diplostraca, Daphniidae.
AAGCAUCCCUUUGCAUUGGAAUGCAAUCGAAUGCAUUGGCAAUCGAGUUCUCUUUUUCUCCGUGUACGGCUGUUCGCACAUGUGAAUGUGGGUGUUUCCCGAGGACACCCUUUUGUACCCUAUCCCGUCUGGUGGUGUGAUUUAACUCUUCAGCCGAUGCUGGAUGGAGCAACUGUAGAUGCCUGGCUGUAUUUCCCAUGCAAAAAGAUUUGAUGCCAGACCCAGCCAUCAUAACCAAACAAUAUGCAAGUUUUUCAUGUGCAAGUGUUUACCUGUCUCAGCAACAAUCUCCGGAUCAUCCCUUGGAUAAAAAGCAUCCCAUUGCAUUGGAAAACUACUCACGUCAAUCGAGUUUCGGAUCUCCCUUUUUCCCCUUUCUUGAAAUGCCCUCGUGUACGCCUAUGUGAAUGUAGGUGUAUUCACGAGGACACCCUUUUUACCCUAUCCCGUCACCUGCCAUUUAACUCUUCAGAGGAUGGAUGGAGCACUUGUGGAAUGCCUGGCUGUAUUCCCAGGC